GAAAUGCGAUAAGUAGUGUGAAUUGCAGAAUUCAGUGAAUCAUCGAAUCUUUGAACGCACAUUGCGCCCUUUGGUAUUCCUUAGGGCAUGCCUGUUCGAGCGUCAUCUAAACCUUCAAGCCCUGCUUGGUGUUGGGUGCCUGUCCCGCCUCCGCGCGCGGACUCACCUCAAAUCCAUUGGCGGGCCCCGCGUCGGCCACGAGCGCAGCAGAAACGCGAACUCGUGAGCCCGUCCGGGCGGCUCCCAGAAGCUACACCCACCCAGUUUGACCUCGGAUCAGGUAGGGAUACCCGCUGAACUUAAGC
This 305-nucleotide unclassified non-coding RNA is filed under the name plant metagenome. Its description in RNAcentral is "partial contains 5.8S ribosomal RNA, internal transcribed spacer 2, and large subunit ribosomal RNA". The stretch from base 1 to 105 matches the Rfam family "5.8S ribosomal RNA", at positions 50 to 154 of the family's 154-position model. The record is from RNAcentral.